This is a long non-coding RNA of Physella acuta, 403 nucleotides long. RefSeq lists it as uncharacterized. The record is from RefSeq and is a predicted model, not a curated record. Lineage: Eukaryota; Metazoa; Mollusca; Gastropoda; Physidae.
UAGAAAUCCAAGCAUAAUGCCUGGUUGUUAAGAUGAGAAGAGCCAGAUGUUGCCCACAUAUCAGUCGCCCUUUCCUUACACAAUUGGUGGAAUCAAAUAUAUCUAACCUAAUCCUUACAUAACAUGAUUUUAUUUAAGUUAUACUGAGCUGAUUAAAAUGAAGAUCGCAGUUCUCCUUCUUCUGGUGUGUCUUGCAAAUCUCUGUGUUGUAUCGGUCAGUUGUUGUAAAAGGACUGGUGAAGACUGUGUAAGUAAGAAGUGGUGCUGUGAAGAUAAUGAUUGUGUCGUUAAUAGAAGAAGAGAUAAAGGAGAUGGUGGAGAAAAAAUAUGUUGGCCUGCAAAGUAAAAAGAAAAUGAAUGAAAGAAUCUUUAAGAAAAAAUAAACAUCUGAUUCUGGCAUUGA